CCCAGCGCGCACCGAGCCGGCUGCGCCCGGGGCUCCACGGCGCGAGCCCCGUGAAUGCGGCGCCAGCCCAGGGGCCCCGGUAACUGGGGGAGCCGCGGGGGGCGGCACCCCGGAUCGGGCAGGGGAUCGGGGCCGGGGCCCCUACAGGCUCUCCCCGUCCCAGGUGGCCCUGACUUUCUGGAGAGAGUAGUCACAGAGCUGUGAGGAAGGGGAGAUGCCAUGUGGCGACUGUCCAGCAGGGGAAGUCAGAGCAGGAUCCAGUGGCCAGAUGCUGAAGCUGGAAAAAUUCAGAUGAGAGAGAAGGUGGAAAUUUUUCACUGAGGGUGAGUAACCAUUGCAACAAUUUACCAAGGGCUGCGGUGCAUUCUCCAGCACUUGAAGCGUUUGCAUCAAGAUGGCUGCCUUUCUGAGGGAUCUGCUCUAGUCUGGACAUGGUGAAGGAAUCAGUGGGUGAUUCUCCGGCCUGUGCUGUGCAGGGUCAGAAUGGCCCUUUGGCCUUAAUAUCUGUUGGGCUAAGACAACAUGGGAAAUGGGGUGUUUGGUGGAAAAUACCUUGUUUUUAAAGACCUUAGACAGUUUAAAAUGGAAGGGUCGUUAGACUAUUGUGGAAAAUCCAGUGUCAUCCUCUUUUGGGAGUAAGAAAUGGGAGGUUGAAGAUGUCCUUCACUUACUUUGUAGUUUUCCAGUUUCUUAGUGAUUGUAUAAAAUGGGGACAGAGACCUUUAGCUGACAUUAAAUGACAUUUUGUUCUGUGUGAAUUAGUCUUAGGACGGGCUAGGUACCACCUCUGUGUUAAUAAAGUACUUUAUAAAAACGUAGAGCGCAGGCCAUAGAAUUAUUAUGUUAUAAUGGUUCAAAAAAGAAACUUUUACAAAGGUGACAAAAUAAACCACUUACUCACCUUAUAUGUUUUUUUGCCAUGUGCUGAAUCUACGGAGAACUCUGCCAGGACACUGAAAUGCCAACAUAAAGCAUUAAAACAUCGUAACGAUGGCUGCAUUGGAAUAGAUACAGAGAACUCUCUUAUGCUGGUCUCUAUCUUCUGUAGCAUACUAACUGGUCGAGAUGGUAGACUUCAUAGAAUCUUUGUCCAAUCUGCUGUCAAGCACAUCCUCACAGCCGCUGACGUUCAGAUUGCUGCAGCUGGAGGAGGAGUUCCAUGGAUGUGUGAACUCUAGGGCUCACAGCCCAGGAGAGUUCCGUGGAGGGAUGUGAAGGUAGCUAACGAGGCUGCUGAAGGCUCCAGUUCCUGCAGGACUUGUGGUUGCACCCCUGCUGCUCUGCUGACGCCCCGCGAACCUGACAGCACCUCAGCUGUAUCUUCCCGACAUCCUCUGGGGCGCAGGGUGAUGCAGAGAAAUUGGUGUGGCCUGGUGGCCAGCGCACAGGCUGGCCCUUAGGCUCUGUUCCCAGCUGUGGCCUUGCCUGUUUGCUCUUCAAAGUCCCUCCAGCCCUUCUGAUUCGUUGUCACUUGUGGGAAUGGCAGACGCUCUUUUCCUGGAUUUCCAUUCCUGAAGGAUCUCGUCUGGCUCGCUUCACUUCCGGCCACGCAACCGUCACAGACUGUCCUGCCAGCAUCACUACCGCUGGGGUUUCACGGUGCGAUGGGUGGUGUGGAUGCUCUGACUUGGGUUCAAAUCCGCCUCAUUUUGGUUUUGCUUAAAACCAGGUCUACACUUGGGAGUGUUAAUUCAUUUGUAGAUUUUAAGGCCCUGUGAUCAUCUUGUCUGACCUCCUGUAGAACCCAGGCCAGAGAACAUCCCUGAAUCAAUUCCUAUUUGAACUCGAGCAGCUCUUUUAGAAAAACAUCCUAUCUUGAUUUUAAAAUUGCCAGGGAUGGAGAAUCCGCCACAAGCCCUGGGAGGUUGUUGCAAUGGUUAAUUAUCCUCUCCAUUAAAGAUGUGCAGCACUCUGCCUUUGUCUGGCCUCAACUUCCAGCCACUGGCUCUUGUUAGAUGUUUGUCUGCUAGACUGAAGAGCCGUCUGCUGUCACAUUCCUGGUUCCUCUGUAGGUAUUUAUAGACCGGGAUCAAGUCACCCCUUAACCGUGGCCAUACGAAGAAAAAACCCCAGCUAUUCCAGUGUGAAAAUGUUUUUGCUGGUAUAACUUAUAUUGGCUCAGGGUGUGAAAUGAGCGAUACCAGCAAAGAGUGCUUUUGCCACUUGAACCGCUUUGCUAGUACAGAAAUGUCAUACAACAUCACCCCCAAACAGCUGUUGCUAUUGGGGUAGCUGUGAGGCGUAGCCCUGCCCCACCUCAAGAAGGAACAGAUUUAAGCUGCACUUUCAUUAUGUGAAAUUGGAUCAUCCACACGGGGUUUCCGACGGGGAAUAGGGGAUGUGGUUUCUGCGACAGCAGGGCCUGGACUUCAUGCCCCAGAGGUCCCUGCCAAUCUUGUGUCCUGUGGAUUUGCCAUCAGACCUCUCCUUCAAGCUCUCCUUUGCUGUGAGGCCUUCAAUAAACAUUUUUAUCAUCUGUUAAA
Molecule: long non-coding RNA, 2483 nt
Organism: Caretta caretta (loggerhead turtle)
Lineage: Eukaryota; Metazoa; Chordata; Testudines; Cheloniidae
Source: RefSeq, a predicted model, not a curated record